AGUGAGGACAAGAUUGGUCCAUUAAUCUCGUGGUUUUUCAGCUAAACUACAUGUACAUGUAGCUACACGUAUUUCAAGAUUUGCAAUUUUGUCCUAUCACAGUUUGGCAACAAAACAAUAGGAAUUAGAUUGGGACUAUCUGAAUGACAUAAUUGCAGAAAAUUAAGUCAUCAAAAUCGAACUUGCAUGUACACCUCUGUGGAUACUACCAUAUUGCCAGUGGUCAUUGUA
This 231-nucleotide long non-coding RNA is filed under the name Amphimedon queenslandica. RNAcentral describes it as "uncharacterized LOC109584949". Lineage: Eukaryota; Metazoa; Porifera; Demospongiae; Haplosclerida; Niphatidae. The record is from RNAcentral.